CGGGUGAGUAAUGCUUAGGAAUCUGCCCAGUAGUGGGGGACAACCGGAGGAAACUCCGGCUAAUACCGCAUAAGUCCUACGGGAGAAAGCGGGGGACCGAAAGGCCUCGCGCUAUUGGAUGAGCCUAAGCCCGAUUAGCUAGUUGGCGGGGUAAUAGCCCACCAAGGCGAUGAUCGGUAGCUGGUCUGAGAGGAUGAUCAGCCACACUGGGACUGAGACACGGCCCAGACUCC
This 233-nucleotide ribosomal RNA is filed under the name uncultured bacterium. Its description in RNAcentral is "partial 16S ribosomal RNA". It matches the Rfam family "Bacterial small subunit ribosomal RNA", at positions 103 to 339 of the family's 1533-position model. The record is from RNAcentral.